GACGAACGCUGGCGGCGUGCCUAAUACAUGCAAGUCGAACGAGAGCGACCGGUGCUUGCACUGGUCAAUCUAGUGGCGGACGGGUGAGUAACACGUGGGUAACCUGCCCAUCAGAGGGGGAUAACAUCCGGAAACGGAUGCUAAAACCACAUAGGUCUUCGAACCGCAUGGUUUGAAGAGGAAAAGAGGCGCAAGCUUCUGCUGAUGGAUGGUCCCGCGGUGCAUUAGCUAGUUGGUGAGGUAACGGCUCACCAAGGCCGUGAUGCAUAGCCGACCUGAGAGGGUGAUCGGCCACAUUGGGACUGAGACACGGCCCAAACUCCUACGGGAGGCAGCAGUAGGGAAUCUUCCGCAAUGGACGCAAGUCUGACGGAGCAACGCCGCGUGAGUGAAGAAGGUUUUCGGAUCGUAAAACUCUGUUGUUAGAGAAGAACAAGUGCUAGAGUAACUGUUAGCGCCUUGACGGUAUCUAACCAGAAAGCCACGGCUAACUACGUG
This 498-nucleotide ribosomal RNA is filed under the name uncultured bacterium. RNAcentral's name for it is "partial 16S ribosomal RNA". It matches the Rfam family "Bacterial small subunit ribosomal RNA", at positions 28 to 507 of the family's 1533-position model. The record is from RNAcentral.